GGUCCGUUGGUCAAGGGGUUAAGACACCGCCUUUUCACGGCGGUAACACGGGUUCGAAUCCUGUACGGACUA
Molecule: transfer RNA, 72 nt
Filed under: Streptococcus agalactiae
Lineage: Bacteria; Bacillati; Bacillota; Bacilli; Lactobacillales; Streptococcaceae
Also listed under: 3 other names
Description: tRNA-Glu
Rfam family: tRNA
About the family: Transfer RNA (tRNA) molecules are approximately 80 nucleotides in length.
Source: RNAcentral